GUUUGAUCCUGGCUGAGGAUGAACGCUGGCGGCGUGCUUAACACAUGCAAGUCGAACGAUGAUCUCCAGCUUGCUGGGGGGAUUAGUGGCGAACGGGUGAGUAACACGUGAGUAACCUGCCCUUGACUCUGGGAUAAGCCUGGGAAACUGGGUCUAAUACCGGAUAUGACCAUCUGGCGCAUGUCAUGGUGGUGGAAAGCUUUUUUGUGGUUUUGGAUGGACUCGCGGCCUAUCAGCUUGUUGGUGGGGUAAUGGCCUACCAAGGCGACGACGGGUAGCCGGCCUGAGAGGGUGACCGGCCACACUGGGACUGAGACACGGCCCAGACUCCUACGGGAGGCAGCAGUGGGGAAUAUUGCACAAUGGGCGCAAGCCUGAUGCAGCGACGCCGCGUGAGGGAUGACGGCCUUCGGGUUGUAAACCUCUUUCAGUAGGGAAGAAGCGUAAGUGACGGUACCUGCAGAAGAAGCGCCGGCUAACUACGUGCCAGCAGCCGCGGUAAUACGUAGGGCGCAAGCGUUAUCCGGAAUUAUUGGGCGUAAAGAGCUCGUAGGCGGUUUGUCGCGUCUGCUGUGAAAGACCGGGGCUCAACUCCGGUUCUGCAGUGGGUACGGGCAGACUAGAGUGCAGU
This 631-nucleotide ribosomal RNA is filed under the name bacterium TN53A. Its description in RNAcentral is "bacterial SSU rRNA". It matches the Rfam family "Bacterial small subunit ribosomal RNA", at positions 11 to 652 of the family's 1533-position model. The record is from RNAcentral. RNAcentral also lists the same sequence under 2 other names.